RNAcentral lists this long non-coding RNA (231 nucleotides) under Elaeis guineensis (African oil palm). RNAcentral's name for it is "long non-coding RNA (EGUI_LNC014402)". Lineage: Eukaryota; Viridiplantae; Streptophyta; Magnoliopsida; Arecales; Arecaceae. The record is from RNAcentral.
ACUAUCGCUAGCUACAGUAUUCUGUCAAAAUUUUCUUCCGUAAAAUCUUAUUGUCAUCUACCCAAAAUAUAAUUUAUAUCUCAUUUUCUCAUGCAGAGAUAAUCAAAUGAAACUCAUCAUCAAUAUCAUCUUUCCAAACAUAUCCAUUGUUUUCAUGUUCACUUUUCUUAUUACUAGUUAAUGGUAUUCAUAUCAUAUAUCAAAAGAAAAUGUUUAAAGGUGCCUAUCCCA